GGCUUUUUGAUAAUAAUUUAAGGUCUAACCUGCCCAAUGAGGAUUUAAAUGGCCGCGGUAUUUUGACCGUGCAAAGGUAGCAUAAUCAUUAGUUUUUUAAUUGAAAGCUGGUAUGAAAGGUUGGAUGAGAAAAUAGCUGUCUCUGCUUUAACUAUUUAGAAUUUUAUUUUUAAGUAAAAAAGCUUAAAUUUUAGUAGAAGACGAGAAGACCCUAUAGAGUUUUAUUUAUUUUUUGUUUAAAAUUUUAAGUAUUGAAAAUUUUUAUGUUUAAAAUAAAUUUAAUUGGGGUGAUUGAAAAAUUUAUUAAACUUUUUUUUUAUAUAAUCAUUAAUUUAUGAGUUUUUGAUCCUUUUAUAAAGAUUAUAAGAUUAAAUUACCUUAGGGAUAACAGCGUAAUUUUUUUAAAGAGUUCAAAUCGAAAAAAAAGAUUGCGACCUCGAUGUUGGAUUAAAAUAAAAUUUUGGUGUAGAAGCUAAGAUAUUUAGGUCUGUUCGACCUUUAAAAUUUUACAUGAUCUGAGUUUAAACCGGUGUGAGCCAGGUUGGUUUCUAUCUCUACUUUGUUAUAAUAUUUUAGUACGAAAGGACCAAGUAUUAGUUUGAUAAAUUUAUUUUAGAAUAAUAUUAGUUAUUUUGGCAGAAUAGUGCGAUAGAUUUAGAAUCUAUAAAUGUAAUUUUUUUACAAAUAAUACUUGAUAUUGAAAGAUAUUAUAUUAAUAUUAGUGUCGAGUCUUAUUUUAAUUAUUUGUGUUUUAGUAGGGAUGGCCUUUUUAACUUUAUUAGAGCGUAAAGUUUU
RNAcentral lists this ribosomal RNA (795 nucleotides) under Malvinius nordenskioeldi. RNAcentral's name for it is "partial 16S ribosomal RNA". The stretch from base 1 to 579 matches the Rfam family "Bacterial large subunit ribosomal RNA", at positions 1819 to 2925 of the family's 2925-position model. Lineage: Eukaryota; Metazoa; Arthropoda; Insecta; Coleoptera; Curculionidae. The record is from RNAcentral.